Caretta caretta (loggerhead turtle) is the source of this 785-nucleotide long non-coding RNA. RefSeq lists it as uncharacterized. The record is from RefSeq and is a predicted model, not a curated record. Lineage: Eukaryota; Metazoa; Chordata; Testudines; Cheloniidae.
GGGGGGGAAGUUUGAGGUAGUUGGACUCUUUUUGGACUCUCCCUCUGGAUACAUCUUGAGUCCCAAUCGACAGACGGAAGAUUUGGCCACCAGAAGCCUGCCACUGUGUCACUCGAGAACCACACUCAGCUCUGCCAGGAGCUGUUUUUAACCACGGAGCCCAGCCGGUCGCAGGACAGAAUGGUGGUCGAGCACAAUGCUAGGGAAGGCACCUCUGCAGAAAGCUUGUCCUUUGGAGCAUCCUGCACACAAGGAGAGAGGCUUUCCCAGCUUCGAUGGUAGAAAAAGAGGACUCGGUAUGACAUGUUCAGUGAGAUAAUGAACGCCUUUGGAACAGCUGAGAUAGAGCUCAGGUCAUGGAUGAUUUCACCCUCCGAAAAACUAGACAUGGACAUGGAGAGCAUCCCAGGUGCAGGAGCAUGCCACAGAGGAGGAGAUACUGUGUAUUAUGAAGGACCAAUCAGAUUAUGUUGAGGCAUCUGGUUAAGCUUCAAGAAAGGCAACUGGAUGUUAGACUCCCUCUGCAGCCAAUGCAGAACAGCCUGCCAGCCAGCAUCACCUUGUUCACAAUCCUCCUCUCCCAAAUAUUCCAUGAGGCGAGUGUGAGGGGAGUUCAGUAUCCCUUCCACUCAACCCCAGGGGAGGGUACAAAGAACAGAAGGUGCCCAUUCCAAGACCUUUGAUGGUUAGGAGUGCAAACAAGCUAACUCGGUUUCUCCCCUCCCCUAGCCCGAGGUUACCUUAAUUUUCUGUGUCUGGUGUGUGCAUAAUAAAAGAAAACAGUU